Molecule: ribosomal RNA, 253 nt
Filed under: uncultured bacterium
Lineage: Bacteria
Description: partial 16S ribosomal RNA
Rfam family: Bacterial small subunit ribosomal RNA
Source: RNAcentral
UACAUGGGGUGCAAACGUUGCUCGGAAUUAUUGGGCGUAAAGCGCACGUAGGUGGUCACUUAAGUCGGAUGUGAAAGCCCUCGGCUCAACCGAGGAAGUGCACCCGAAACUGAAUGGCUAGAGUACUGAAGAGGGUCGCGGAAUUCCCGGUGUAGAGGUGAAAUUCGUAGAUAUCGGGAGGAACACCGGUGGCGAAGGCGGCGACCUGGGCAGAUACUGACACUGAGGUGCGAAAGCGUGGGGAGCAAACAGG